AUGUCUAAGUAUAAGCAAUUAUACGGCGAAACUGCGAAUGGCUCAUUAUAUAAGUUAUCGUUUAUUUGAUAGCACCUUACUACUUGGAUAACCGUGGUAAUUCUAGAGCUAAUACAUGCUGAAAAUCCCGACUUCGGAAGGGAUGUAUUUAUUGGAUUAAAAACCAAUGCCCUCUGGGCUCUCUGGUGAUUCACGAUAACUUCUCGAAUCGCAUGGCCUUGCGCCGGCGAUGGUUCAUUCAAAUUUCUUCCCUAUCAACUUUCGAUGUUUGGGUAGUGGCCAAACAUGGUUGCAACGGGUAACGGAGGGUUAGGGCUCGACCCCGGAGAAGGAGCCUGAGAAACGGCUACUACAUCCAAGGAAGGCAGCAGGCGCGCAAAUUACCCAAUCCGACACGGGGAGGUAGUGACAAUAAAUACUGAUACAGGGCUCUUUUGGGUCUGUAAUUGGAAUGAGUACAAUUUAAAUCCCUUAACGAGGAACAAUUGGAGGGCAAGUCUGGUGCCAGCAGCCGCGGUAAUUCCAGCUCCGGUAGCGUAUAUUAAAGUUGUUGUGGUUAAAAAGCUGUAGUUGAACCUUGGGCCUGGCUGGCCGGUCCGCCUCACCGCGUGCACUGGUCCGGCCGGGCCUUUCCCUCUGUGGAACCCCAUGCCCUUCACUGGGCGUGGCGGGGAAACAGGACCUUUACUUUGAAAAAAUUAGAGUGCUCCAGGCAGGCCUAUGCUCGAUACAUUAGCAUGGAAUAAUGAAAUAGGACGUGCGGUUCUAUUUUGUUGGUUUCUAGGACCGCCGUAAUGAUUAAUAGGGACAGUCGGGGGCAUCAGUAUUCAAUUGUCAGAGGUGAAAUUCUUGGAUUUAUUGAAGACUAACUACUGCGAAAGCAUUUGCCAAGGAUGUUUUCAUUAAUCAGGAACGAAAGUUAGGGGAUCGAAGACGAUCAGAUACCGUCGUAGUCUUAACCAUAAACUAUGCCGACUAGGGAUCGGACGAUGUUAUUUUUUGACUCGUUCGGCACCUUACGAGAAAUCAAAGUGCUUGGGCUCCAGGGAGUAUGGUCGAAGGCUGAAACUUAAAGAAAUUGACGGAAGGCAACCCAGGGGUGGCAUGGCGGCUUAAUUUGACUCAACACGGGGAAACUCACCAGGUCCAGACACAAUGAGGAUUGACAGAUUGAGAGCUCUUUCUUGAUUUUGUGGGUGGUGGUGCAUGGCCGUUCUUAGUUGGUGGAGUGAUUUGUCUGCUUAAUUGCGAUAACGAACGAGACCUUAACCUGCUAAAUAGCCGGCGCGGUCGCGCGCGCCGGCUU
RNAcentral lists this ribosomal RNA (1306 nucleotides) under Purpureocillium atypicola. Its description in RNAcentral is "SSU rRNA". It matches the Rfam family "Eukaryotic small subunit ribosomal RNA", at positions 55 to 1409 of the family's 1831-position model. The record is from RNAcentral. Lineage: Eukaryota; Fungi; Ascomycota; Sordariomycetes; Hypocreales; Ophiocordycipitaceae.